CAGCCGCCGCGGUAAUACGUAGGUGGCGAGCGUUAUCCCGAAUUAUUGGGCGUAAAGGGUGCGUAGGCGGCCUGUUAAGUAAGUGGUUAAAUUGUUGGGCUCAACCCAAUCCAGCCACUUAAACUGGCAGGCUAGAGUAUUGGAGAGGCAAGUGGAAUUCCAUGUGUAGCGGUAAAAUGCGUAGAUAUAUGGAGGAACACCGGUGGCGAAAGCGGCCCUCUGGCUUGUAACUGACGCUGAGGCUCGAAAGCGCGGGGAGCAAACAGGAUUAGAUACCCGAGUAGUCCCUGUCUCUUAUACC
RNAcentral lists this ribosomal RNA (301 nucleotides) under uncultured bacterium. Its description in RNAcentral is "partial 16S ribosomal RNA". It matches the Rfam family "Bacterial small subunit ribosomal RNA", at positions 509 to 808 of the family's 1533-position model. The record is from RNAcentral.